UGCUAUACUGCAGUCGAACGCUUCUUUCCUCCCGAGUGCUUGCACUCAAUUGGAAAGAGGAGUGGCGGACGGGUGAGUAACACGUGGGUAACCUACCCAUCAGAGGGGGAUAACACUUGGAAACAGGUGCUAAUACCGCAUAACAGUUUAUGCCGCAUGGCAUAAGAGUGAAAGGCGCUUUCGGGUGUCGCUGAUGGAUGGACCCGCGGUGCAUUAGCUAGUUGGUGAGGUAACGGCUCACCAAGGCCACGAUGCAUAGCCGACCUGAGAGGGUGAUCGGCCACACUGGGACUGAGACACGGCCCAGACUCCUACGGGAGGCAGCAGUAGGGAAUCUUCGGCAAUGGACGAAAGUCUGACCGAGCAACGCCGCGUGAGUGAAGAAGGUUUUCGGAUCGUAAAACUCUGUUGUUAGAGAAGAACAAGGACGUUAGUAACUGAACGUCCCCUGACGGUAUCUAACCAGAAAGCCACGGCUAACUACGUGCCAGCAGCCGCGGUAAUACGUAGGUGGCAAGCGUUGUCCGGAUUUAUUGGGCGUAAAGCGAGCGCAGGCGGUUUCUUAAGUCUGAUGUGAAAGCCCCCGGCUCAACCGGGGAGGGUCAUUGGAAACUGGGAGACUUGAGUGCAGAAGAGGAGAGUGGAAUUCCAUGUGUAGCGGUGAAAUGCGUAGAUAUAUGGAGGAACACCAGUGGCGAAGGCGGCUCUCUGGUCUGUAACUGACGCUGAGGCUCGAAAGCGUGGGGAGCAAACAGGAUUAGAUACCCUGGUAGUCCACGCCGUAAACGAUGAGUGCUAAGUGUUGGAGGGUUUCCGCCCUUCAGUGCUGCAGCAAACGCAUUAAGCACUCCGCCUGGGGAGUACGACCGCAAGGUUGAAACUCAAAGGAAUUGACGGGGGCCCGCAC
RNAcentral lists this ribosomal RNA (907 nucleotides) under Enterococcus sp. H181. Its description in RNAcentral is "bacterial SSU rRNA". It matches the Rfam family "Bacterial small subunit ribosomal RNA", at positions 45 to 926 of the family's 1533-position model. Lineage: Bacteria; Bacillati; Bacillota; Bacilli; Lactobacillales; Enterococcaceae. The record is from RNAcentral.